Non-coding RNA from Callorhinus ursinus (northern fur seal), 421 nucleotides. The record is from RefSeq and is a predicted model, not a curated record. NCBI's taxonomy places the organism in Eukaryota, Metazoa, Chordata, Mammalia, Carnivora, Otariidae.
CCGGGCGAGCCAAUUCCAGUGAAUGACCACACAGUAAAACGUGACAAGGGCCCCAUUCACAGGCCCCGACUGCGCGGAGCUGGCCCGGCGGCUGGAGGUGGCUCUUGAUGAAUCAACUUAUGUUAGAAGGUUUGCAACACGGAGGUUUUCACCUUUCCCAAAACUCAUCGCUUAGAACUCUUAAGACUUGCACAUAUUGCUGUAUAGAAAUUUUACCUCAAAGAAUAGAGAAGAACCAUAAACAAAUAUUGAACUCUGGAAUGCUAGAAUAUUUAGGACUGGAGUGAAGUGCACUGAUGUUUCAAGUACAUAAGAAAAAAGGGCUUCUUCGGUAGCCAGUUUCAACAAUUAUCCUGAAAAAUUGUAGUUAAAUUUAAAUAAUCUUUCAAUGAAAAAAAUGGAUUCUGAAUCCAUGAAUUUU